UCAAGCUACAAAGGGCAUAUGGUGGAUGCCUUGGCGCCAUGAGCCGAAGAAGGACGCGAUAAGCUGCGAUAAGCCGCGGGGAACUGCAAAUAAGUAUAGAUCCGCGGAUUUCCGAAUGGGGAAACCCGGCAGUCGUAAUGGGCUGUCACCCGAGAGGGAGGGAACCCGGUGAACUGAAACAUCUAAGUAACCGGAGGAAGAGAAAUCAAACGAGAUGCCCGUAGUAGCGGCGAGCGAAGGGGGCAUAGCCCAAACCGUGGGCCUUCGGGCCUGCGGGGUUGUGGACCGGCGUAAACGGACGAGUUGCUAGUAGAAUUACCUGGAAAGGUAAGCGAGAGAGGGUAAAAGCCCCGUAUACGAAAGCGACGAGGACGCGGCCGGGAUCCAGAGUACCACGGAGCACGAGGAAUUCUGUGGGAAGCAGGGGGGACCACCCUCCAAGGCUAAACACUCCAUGGCGACCGAUAGCGCAGAGUACCAUGAGGGAAAGGUGAAAAGAACCCCGGGAGGGGAGUGAAAGAGAACCUGAAACCGUAUGUCUACAAGCAGUCGGAGCGAAAGCGACGGCGUGCCUAUUGAAGAAUGAGCCAACGAGUUACGUGCGCCAGCGAGGUUAAGCAGAAGAUGCGGAGCCGCAGGGAAACCGAGUCUGAAGAGGGCGAGGAGUUGGUGUACGUAGACCCGAAACUGCAGUGAUCUACGCAUGGCCAGAUUGAAACGCAGGUAAAAUUGCGCGGAGGAUCGAACCGGGACAUGUUGAAAAAUGUUCGGAUGAGCUGUGCGUAGGGGUGAAAUUCCAAUCGAACGCAGAGAUAGCUGGUUCUCCUCGAAAUAGCUUUAGGGCUAGCCUCAGGCAGUAAGCGCAGGCGGUAGAGCACUGAUCGGGAUAGGGGCCGUAAUGGCUACCGAACCCUGUCAAACUCCGAAUGGCAGCGCUGCAGAGCCUGGGAGUCAGACUACGAGUGAUAAGAUCCGUGGUCAAAAGGGAAACAGCCCAGACCAUCAGCUAAGGUCCCCAAUGCCGUACUAAGUGGAAAAGGAUGUGGGGUUUCAUAAACAACCAGGAUGUUGGCUCAGAAGCAGCCACCAUUUAAAGAGUGCGUAAUAGCUCACUGGUCGAGAGACCCUGCGCCGAAGAUUCCCGGGGCUAAAGUACGGAACCGAAGCUAUGGAUGCAUCCCUCGGGAUGCGUGGUAGAGGAGCGUUCCCAUCGGGCAGAAGUCGUUCUGGAAGGAACGGUGGACUGGUGGGAAGUGAGAAUGUUGGCAUGAGUAGCGAAAAGAAUGGUGAGAAUCCAUUCCACCGAAAACACAAGGAUUCCUGAGCAACGAUCGUCGUCUCAGGGUAAGUCGGGACCUAAUCCGAGGCAUGGAGCGUAGGAGAUGGACAUCCGGUUGAAAUUCCGGAACCGGCAGGAAUCGUCAAGAGCAAGGGAGUGACACAGGAAGGCAGGCGCGCAUGAGAUUGGAAGUUCAUGUGCAAGCGUGCGACGCGCGGGACAGGCAAACCCAUCCCGCACAAGCGCCAGGCGUGACGCGGAGGGAACCGCGAGGGACCCGAAGGCGCUGAGCCUACACUGUCGAGAAAAGCUUCUAGCAAGAGACCUGCCGCCCGUACCGUAAACCGACACAGGUGUGUGGGGAGAGAAUCCUAAGGUGCGCGGGAGAACCCUCGUUAAGGAACUCGGCAAAAUGUACCCGUAACUUCGGGAUAAGGGUAGCCGUCGGGCGUGAAGGGACCAGCUCCUGGAGCGCCGGAUGGCCGCAGAGAAGAGGCCCAAGCGACUGUUUACCAAAAACUUAGGUGCCUGCCAAAGCGAAAGCUGACGUAUAGGUGCUGACACCUGCCCAGUGCCGGAAGGUUAAGGAAGGAGGUCCGGGUUCGACCCAAAGCCUUCGACCGAAGCCCCGGUGAACGGCGGCCGUAACUAUAACGGUCCUAAGGUAGCGAAAUUCCUUGUCGGGUAAG
This 1968-nucleotide ribosomal RNA is filed under the name human gut metagenome. RNAcentral's name for it is "bacterial LSU rRNA". It matches the Rfam family "Bacterial large subunit ribosomal RNA", at positions 3 to 1980 of the family's 2925-position model. The record is from RNAcentral.